Brassica oleracea var. oleracea is the source of this 1351-nucleotide long non-coding RNA. RefSeq lists it as uncharacterized. The record is from RefSeq and is a predicted model, not a curated record. NCBI's taxonomy places the organism in Eukaryota, Viridiplantae, Streptophyta, Magnoliopsida, Brassicales, Brassicaceae. The transcript is spliced from 5 exons.
GUACCGAUUUUUCUCGUACUUGAGACUUUUCAUUAUCUCUCAUCUCUUUGACUUCACCCGAUACCUUGCUCCUUGAUCUGAUGUAUGUUGCAAUCAUAAGUGGUUUGCGUUGUUUUCACAGUUCUUAAUCAGAUCGAUUGUCAGAAGUUUGGAAUACAAAGACUUGAGAUCAGAUGAGCAAGUCAGAUCUAGGCACUAUUACCGAAACAAUUAUCAUGCGUGACUCUGUGAAUUUGCCUCUAUUAUUGUUUUUGGAGUAGUUUUUUUACAAUGGAGGCUGUAUUAGUUCCUAUGUGUAUGUAGACCACGUUAUAGUAACGACUAAUGCAUUCUUUGCAGACUAUUGAGUUAGAAGCCAAGUGUCAGAAGGCACGAAGCAAUCAUUCUUGAAGAUCAUGCUUUCUCUGAGAAUCACACCAUUGAGUUUACGCUGUGGCAGUUGCAUUACAAACGGAUUGAAGAAUAUUGAUCAAACAUAAAUGCUGUCUUGGCUUCUAGUAGCUCCAGUGCGGCUCAGAAUGCAAAGGAUCCUUUUAUACCCGACCGAGUUGCGAGGCUCAAGCUGCGUACCUCUUCUUUCGAUUCCUAAAGGGCGCGUUCAGAAAUUUCCUUUCGGAAGCAGCUGGGUUUUACCCUGAUAUGAUCUUUAAAAUGAGAUCCAAGUAUGGUCUCCCCUUGGGUUACUUUUCCGACGAUCAAGAGAGUAAAAAUUUUGCCGAUAAGGAUGGGAGAAGUUGGCUCAAGUCAAAAAAGGCUUGGUGCCUUGUCACCAUUGCUUAAUAUACCUUGGUGAUCUUGCUCGGUAUAAAGAUUGUAUGGAGAGGGAGGAGAUUCAAAGAACCGAGAAUAUGCUGCUGCUUCGGGUUACUAUUUGAAAGCAGCUUCUCUAUUGCCAGCCAGUGGAAACCCACAUCAUCAGCUAGUGCAAAUUGCUUCUUAUUCGGGGGAUGAGUUUGCAGCAACAUACCGUUAUUUCCGGAGCUCUGCUUGGCUGUGGAGAGUCCUUUCCCAAAGGCCCGUGACAACUUGAUUGUUGCUUUUGAGAAGGACCUUAUAAUAGAGAUACAUCAGCAACCUAAACAAAAAGGCGAGACUUAAGUUAGAAGGGUACAAAGAUGAAAUUGUUAGAGAUUGACACUGUAUAAGUGGAAUAGAGGAAGCAGAGCUACAUAAACCCUUGAUGCUGGGGAGAAUAUAACGACAAUUUACAAUUUCGGUUUGGUUAGUUAUUAAAUUUUAAGUGGCGACAAAAUUUUUAGCUGGUUUAGUAUUAGUAAAACGACAACAUAUUAAUCCAAUGGCAUGGGAUUGUAAAUAAAAAGGAAAAGUCAGAAUUAUUUCAUUUUCGUAC